RNAcentral lists this long non-coding RNA (1266 nucleotides) under Chrysemys picta bellii (western painted turtle). RNAcentral's name for it is "lncRNA (ENSCPBG00000000655.1)". Lineage: Eukaryota; Metazoa; Chordata; Testudines; Emydidae. The record is from RNAcentral.
UACUAGCGUUGAAGUGAGUUAACUAUGUCCUUAAAUAGUAGAGAGGAGCCCAAGUUGUAAAGCUCAGAACUAAACUUCCUCAAAGUUUGGAGGGAGAGCUGGUCAAAAACUGGAAUUUCAAUUUCACAGCAAAAUCUACCUUUGCUGGUUUUUUGGUGGGUUUGAGUUUUUUGUUUUGUUGUUCUGAAUUGGAAUAAAAAGCUAACCUUUCAAAGCUUCCUGUGAAACAAAAGUUCCAAAAUAAUUUAAAUUCAGGACAGCUGAAUCAUUUUGUUUCAAUAAUUUUUAAUUGUAUCAUUGACACUGUUGAAAUGUAUUUUUUCAAUAAUGUUGAAAUGCUUUGUUCUAUAUUUAAUAUAUUAUAAAAGUUAAAACUUAAUUAAAACCAGAAGGUUGAAACAAAACAUUUUACCUUAUCUAAAUGAACCAUUUAGACUUUUUUCCCCAUUAAAAAUGUCAUUGAAAUCAACACAUUCGUGUGAAACAUUUUGAUUUUGAUGAAACUGCAUCUAUCGAUGGAAAACUCUUCAGUUGAAAAUUUUUUAAGCUAGCUUUCUGUGAAGGUGUUAGUACACACAGGUUUGGGUUCAGCCCAGCAUAGAGAGACUAUUCAGUCACAAAUCUUGGAUCUAGAUUCAAACUUCUUCAAGGUUUGGGGUGAUCAGACUCCAGGGUUUUGGUUCAGACCCAUCUCAGCUAAAUAGUAGAAUUAGGUGAAAUGCUCAAGUUUCUGUUUAUGGAGUUUCCUUUAGCAUUGUUCCAAUUGUGGGAGGGAGGAGGGGAGAUUUGCACACCCUGAGAGUCUCUCUGAGUUUGAGAGUCAAAUGAACCCUGACAAACCUUGAAAUUGAAUCCCAUUGAGUCUUAACUGGUUUUGUGUUAAAACGAUGCAUAACCAGCUUCACAUGUGAAACCGUAAAUCUGUCUAGAUUCACUUUAAACUGAGCCUAAAUUCAUUGUAUGGGGGCAAAGACUUUAGCAAAUCUACUAAUGAAUACACUGGAAUUUAUAUCAGAACCUAGAACUUUCAUCACAAAACCUGCAACCACAUUCCUCAGAAAGUUGCACACAGUUCAGCUAGUUUACUGAAUAUCUCCCUUCUCCAGUUAUCAUGUACUGAAACACAACUUGCCCUGUCUACACUAAGACUUUAAAAUGUGUUAACCAUCCUGUUUUUAAACCACACCAUUUAUCCUAGUCUAGACAGAGCUAUAGACCAAGCAAGAGAACUCCAGCCCAGCCUGGGAUGUAUCUGUGACUGCCACU